RNAcentral lists this ribosomal RNA (253 nucleotides) under uncultured bacterium. RNAcentral's name for it is "partial 16S ribosomal RNA". It matches the Rfam family "Bacterial small subunit ribosomal RNA", at positions 524 to 776 of the family's 1533-position model. The record is from RNAcentral.
UACGUAGGGUGCAAGCGUUGUCCGGAAUUAUUGGGCGUAAAGAGCUCGUAGGCGGUUUGUUGCGUCGGCUGUGAAAUCCCGAGGCUCAACCUCGGGUCUGCAGUCGAUACGAGCAAACUAGAGUGUUGCAGGGGAGACUGGAAUUCCUGGUGUAGCGGUGAAAUGCGCAGAUAUCGGGAAGAACACCCGUGGCGAAGGCGGCUCUCUGGAACGCAACUGACGCUGAGACGCGAAAGCGUGGGGAGCAAACAGG